This 465-nucleotide ribosomal RNA is filed under the name uncultured bacterium. RNAcentral describes it as "partial 16S ribosomal RNA". It matches the Rfam family "Bacterial small subunit ribosomal RNA", at positions 338 to 795 of the family's 1533-position model. The record is from RNAcentral.
CCUACGGGAGGCAGCAGUGGGGAAUAUUGCGCAAUGGGCGAAAGCCUGACGCAGCGGCGCCGCGUGAGGGAUGAAGGUCUUCGGAUCGUAAACCUCUGUCAGCAGGGAAGAACGGUCACUGUGCUAAUCAUCAGUGAAUUGACGGUACUCGCAAAGGAAGCACCGGCUAACUACGUGCCAGCAGCCGCGGUAAUACGGAGGGUGCGAGCGUUAAUCGGAAUUACUGGGCGUAAAGCGCUCGUAGGCGGUAUGUCAAGUCAAGGGUGAAAUCCCCGGGCUCAACGUGGGAACUGCCUUUGAGACUGGCAGGCUGGAGUGUGUGAGAGGGUAGUGGAAUUCCAGGUGUAGGAGUGAAAUCCGUAGAUAUCUGGAAGAACAUCAGUGGCGAAGGCGACUAUCUGGGACAUAACUGACGCUGAGAAGCGAAAGCGUGGGUAGCAAACAGGAUUAGAUACCCCAGUAGUC